Molecule: unclassified non-coding RNA, 21 nt
Filed under: Mus musculus (house mouse)
Lineage: Eukaryota; Metazoa; Chordata; Mammalia; Rodentia; Muridae
Description: oocyte_clustered_small_RNA14363
Source: RNAcentral
UACGGGAAUCCCCUUCACCUC